RNAcentral lists this ribosomal RNA (468 nucleotides) under uncultured Anaerolineaceae bacterium. RNAcentral describes it as "bacterial SSU rRNA". It matches the Rfam family "Bacterial small subunit ribosomal RNA", at positions 896 to 1382 of the family's 1533-position model. The record is from RNAcentral. Lineage: Bacteria; Bacillati; Chloroflexota; Anaerolineae; Anaerolineales; Anaerolineaceae.
GAAACUCAAAUGAAUUGACGGGACCCGCACAAGCAGCGGAGCGUGUGGUUUAAUUCGUUGCUACACGGAGAACCUUACCUGGGUUUGACAUAUAGGUUGUAGGGAACUGAAAGGGACCGACCUUCGGGAGCCUAUACAGGUGUUGCAUGGCUGUCGUCAGCUCGUGUCGUGAGAUGUUCGGUUAAGUCCGCUAACGAGCGCAACCCUCGUCGUAUGUUAUAUGUGUCAUACGAGACUGCCGGUAAAAGCCGGAGGAAGGUGAGGAUGGUGUCAAGUCAGCAUGACCUUUAUAUCCAGGGCUACACACACGCUACAAUGGUCUGUACAAUGGGUAGCCAAGCCGCGAGGCGGAGCCAAUCCUGAAAGCAGGCCUCAGUUCAGAUUGCAGUCUGCAACUCGACUGCAUGAAGCCGGAGUUGCUAGUAACCGCAGGUCAGCAAUACUGCGGUGAAUACGUUCCCGGGUCUU